GUACCCCUCCCCACCUUCCCUCCAGCGAAGGUUAGUCUUCAAUGAUUGUAAGUUUAGGGUUCCUAACCGUAAACACGAACCAAACAAGUAUCGCUUCUAUGCCUAUGGUAACGCCGCCUCUCUAUUCGUCCAAAUGGGUGCCUACUGUGGCGGCCCCAAAACCUUUGCCGUCGUCGGCCUCGCCUCCAAGCCCCUUCACGUCUAUAGCCGUCCCUGGUUCAAAUGUGAGUGGAUCUCCAACAAUCGCUCCUCCCCCUCUAUUAAGACCAAGGCCUAUAAAAUGCUUCAAUACGUAGGCUUCUUUGUUUCUGCCAGAGCCCGCCUCCAUGGCCAUGGCUUCAAUAUGUAGGCUUCUUCAUUUCUGCUCAUCCUCACACGUCUCUAUCUCCAAAUUUCCUUGCUCUUUCAUUUCAUUUCUUAAUCAGAUUUUGAUUACUUGUUUUGGUUUCGUAAUCAUUGAUGUUCUUAAUAUUUUUACCUGAGAUUUCUCUUGCAGAGAACAAGCUUGACUCUUACAGGAGCAUGAGAAGGCUUCGGAUUCAGAGCAGUUUGUAAGAGAUUUAGUGCAACAAUUCCGUCUAAGGAAACUGGUUUGAAGUGUGAAGCUGGGUAUCGACAAACUGAACGAGAUGUGAUUGAUGAUGAGUUUACAAAGAUCGGUCAAGAAUUCGAUGCUGCUAAACAGAGGUUUCUUAAGAUUCCGGAGGCACUCAAGCAAAUGCCAAAAAAUUAAUCCUAAAAGUUGCUUUUUAUCCUUUUCUUUGUUUUUCUUUGCUUCAUCAAAUUCCUUAAUUUAGAUUUGUAUGAUUUUUUGAGCUAAGUAUUCUUAUUUC
This is a long non-coding RNA of Macadamia integrifolia, 833 nucleotides long. RefSeq lists it as uncharacterized. Lineage: Eukaryota; Viridiplantae; Streptophyta; Magnoliopsida; Proteales; Proteaceae. The record is from RefSeq and is a predicted model, not a curated record. The transcript has 2 exons.